This is a long non-coding RNA of Saccostrea cuccullata (small rock oyster), 622 nucleotides long. RefSeq lists it as uncharacterized. The transcript is spliced from 3 exons. Lineage: Eukaryota; Metazoa; Mollusca; Bivalvia; Ostreida; Ostreidae. The record is from RefSeq and is a predicted model, not a curated record.
CGAGAAAGCGGAAGUGCGAGAGUUCGCGAGAUUUGGCGUGAAUUGAACCUCUGGAGAUAAACAAAUCCUCGCAUAUACAUAGGCAUUAUAGAUUUCUUGUUUUUACUGAUACAGAAUGGCAUUGUCCAUUCUGUAUUGGUUAAAUUUUGUAUCCGGGACUAAAAAGCUUCACCAGAAGUCUGAAGUGGCCGUGAAAUCGGAACACGUACUUAAAUUCCGGUACGAUCCUGAGCUGAGACACGUCCAGGGAAGGGUGCAAGCCAGCAUGAGGGAUAGAAGCUAUCAUAUUAACAUCACACUUGGGGAUAAUUACACGGUUGAAGACAGUAUCUGUGACUGUGUUAAUGGCAAGGAUAAGUGCCACCACAAAGCUUCUCUUCUGUUAUAUGGGUAUGUAUUUUUUUAAUACAAUAAAAAAUAUAAAUGAUUUUUUACCUUCAUUUUAUAAAUGUUAUUCAUCUUAAUUUAGGUACAAGAAUGUUAGUAGCUUAAGACGGAUGUAAGAGAAUCUUGGAUAAAACACCCAAAGAGUGGACCCCCAAAGAAAACGAUGACCAUGGAUGACUUAUUUCCUCCAACACCAAAACUAGCAAAUUAUAGCCAUGCAAUGGAUAGUUUCUGA